RNAcentral lists this ribosomal RNA (441 nucleotides) under Serratia symbiotica. RNAcentral describes it as "bacterial SSU rRNA". It matches the Rfam family "Bacterial small subunit ribosomal RNA", at positions 22 to 459 of the family's 1533-position model. The record is from RNAcentral. Lineage: Bacteria; Pseudomonadati; Pseudomonadota; Gammaproteobacteria; Enterobacterales; Yersiniaceae.
GCUCAGAUUGAACGCUGGCGGCAGGCCUAACACAUGCAAGUCGAGCGGUAGCACAAGAGAGCUUGCUCUCUGGGUGACGAGCGGCGGACGGGUGAGUAAUGUCUGGGAAACUGCCUGAUGGCGGGGGAUAACUAGUGGAAACGGUAGCUAAUACCGCAUAACGUCGCAAGACCAAAGUGGGGGCCCUUCGGGCCUCACGCCAUCAGAUGUGCCCAGGUGGGAUUAGCUGGUAGGUGGGGUAACGGCUCACCUAGGCGACGAUCCCUAGCUGGUCUGAGAGGAUGACCAGCCACACUGGAACUGAGACACGGUCCAGACUCCUACGGGAGGCAGCAGUGGGGAAUAUUGCACAAUGGGCGCAAGCCUGAUGCAGCCAUGCCGCGUGUGUGAAGAAGGCCUUCGGGUUGUAAAGCACUUUCAGCGAGGAGGAAGGGUAAUGUG